AUUGCCGUCCUUUACUAUUUUGACCACAGUGUAGCAUCUCAACUUGCUCAACAGAAAGAGUUCAAUCUGAAAAAGCCACCUUCAUACCAUUAUGACCUUCUUCUUUUGGGUUUUCUGGUGCGCCAUUAUCAUGCUUAAUUUUUUUUUUUAAUGAUGAACCUAUUACAUAACAAAUGUUGUUCUUUUCUGCAGAAAGCUUUUAUUUUUAUUUUUUUGUCUUAACUCUAAAUAUGAUUUGACCAGGUUAUAUUAUGCGGUCUUAUUGGCAUUCCACCAUCUAAUGGUGUUAUUCCACAGUCCCCUAUGCAUACAAAAAGUUUAGCAACUCUUAAACAUCAGGUAUAGAUGAUUUGCGAGUUGACAAUAUACAAAUGUAUUAUGUGUCAAGCUCAAACAUAAUUUAACUGAAAUUUCUAUCAUUCUGUAUGUGGUUACAACAAUUGGCCACCCAACUCUUCUUUGUCUUUCCUUGUUCAUUGUAUUGUUUUGUUAACGUUUCACAAAGUAAUUUCUAAAAUUAGAUUUGUCUCCUGAGGGUAAGACACAGAAGCUCGAACAAUUUUCUUACAUAUUGGGAGCAAAAUUUCCAGUUUCCUAUGAUAUUUUGUUGUCCUCUAACCAUAUUUCUGAUUAUUAAUGCAGACAGUUCUGCUUUCAUAUGUGAAUCAUUGUGAUUGGUUCUUUUGUUUUAUUGGUAACAGCUUUUGCAUAAUAAGCUUGUAUCAACUGCCCGGAAAAGUAUUAGUAGAAAUUCAAGCCUGAGUCAACUAUAUCAAAGCAUGCAAGAGGCAUACAAUGAGAUGCAGACUCCACUUGUCUAUCAGCUUCCAUCCACUCUGGUAGAUUAAUUUGUAUUCAUAAUUUUGAUUUGCACCAUCUAUUAUGGUCCCCUGCCGCCCUUACCUUUUAGUUAAAAUAGGGACUGAAAGAACUGAAAGAAUCCACUGUCCAACUGGCUUCAAGUACUGGUAACAUUGAUGCACCUGUUGACGAGACCAUUUUUGACGUUGCUAAGGAAAUCGAUGAGCUUUUACCUGUAGAAGUCAAAGAACAACGUUUCAGUAACUUGCUUCAGGCAUUGAUGGUUGGUGGGUGUGUUGCUGCUAUGCCUCUACUUAAGAAGAUCCCCACUUCUGUUCUUUGGGGUUAUUUUGCUUUCAUGGCCAUCGAAAGCUUGCCAGGAAAUCAAUUUUGGGAGAGAAUAUUGCUGCUUUUCACUGCUCCAGGUCGGCGAUACAAGUAUGUUUCUGUUUCUUCCCCCCUUUUAACUUCCUUUUUCUUUUGAGUACUAGCUGUUGUAGUCGUUAUGUAGCCAAAGUUAGCACGUGCUCCUCUUCCUAGUACAGGGCUCUUGUAUGCAGACAGUUGUAUUCUAAUGCUCAUUUCUCAUCAUAGCUUGUCAUAAAAACUGUCUUGUAUGUAGACAGUCAUUUCUCACAUCAAGUAAUCCUCAUACAAGAUGAAUAAUCUGAAUAGUUCUGCUCUAAUACUAUGACUUGCUUUUAUUCUUUGAAGAUUAGAUAUCUGAAUUCCUGCAUGAUCUGUUGUGUCAGGGUGUUGGAGGAUUCUCAUGCAACCUUUGUUGAGAUUGUACCUUUCAAAACUAUCGCCACCUUUACCUUGUUCCAGACAGUUUACUUGCUAGUAUGCUUUGGCAUAACAUGGAUCCCAAUAGCUGGGGUCCUUUUCCCACUUUUGAUCAUGCUUCUUGUGCCAGUGCGCCAAUAUUUGCUCCCCAAGUUUUUCAAAGGUGCCCAUCUUCA
RNAcentral lists this long non-coding RNA (1763 nucleotides) under Gossypium raimondii (Peruvian cotton). Its description in RNAcentral is "long non-coding RNA (GRAI_LNC003828)". Lineage: Eukaryota; Viridiplantae; Streptophyta; Magnoliopsida; Malvales; Malvaceae. The record is from RNAcentral.